UACGUAGGUGACCAGCGUUGUCCGGAUUUACUGGGCGUAAAGAGCGCGCAGGCGGUCGUUCAAGUCGAGUGUGAAAGCCCCCCGGCUCAACUGGGGAGGGUCACUCGAUACUGAUCGACUUGAAGGCAGGAGAGGGAAGCGGAAUUCCCGGUGUAGUGGUGAAAUGCGUAGAUAUCGGGAGGAACACCAGUGGCGAAGGCGGGCUUCCUG
This 210-nucleotide ribosomal RNA is filed under the name uncultured bacterium. Its description in RNAcentral is "partial 16S ribosomal RNA". It matches the Rfam family "Bacterial small subunit ribosomal RNA", at positions 524 to 731 of the family's 1533-position model. The record is from RNAcentral.